RNAcentral lists this ribosomal RNA (468 nucleotides) under uncultured bacterium. RNAcentral's name for it is "partial 16S ribosomal RNA". It matches the Rfam family "Bacterial small subunit ribosomal RNA", at positions 28 to 507 of the family's 1533-position model. The record is from RNAcentral.
GACGAACGCUGGCGGCGUGCUUAACACAUGCAAGUCGAACGGAAAGGCCCUGCUUUUGUGGGGUGCUCGAGUGGCGAACGGGUGAGUAACACGUGAGUAACCUGCCCUUGACUUUGGGAUAACUUAAGGAAACUGGGGCUAAUACCGGAUAGGAGCUCCUGCUGCAUGGUGGGGGUUGGAAAGUUUCGGCGGUUGGGGAUGGACUCGCGGCUUAUCAGCUUGUUGGUGGGGUAGUGGCUUACCAAGGCUUUGACGGGUAGCCGGCCUGAGAGGGUGACCGGCCACAUUGGGACUGAGAUACGGCCCAGACUCCUACGGGAGGCAGCAGUGGGGAAUAUUGCACAAUGGGCGGAAGCCUGAUGCAGCAACGCCGCGUGCGGGAUGACGGCCUUCGGGUUGUAAACCGCUUUCGCCUGUGACGAAGCGUGAGUGACGGUAAUGGGUAAAGAAACACCGGCUAACUACGUG